UAGCUGAUGUUGUUUAAUAAGUCCAAGAUCUCAAUUUCCUCAGGGACAGUUUGUAUUGAUUUUUUUUUCCUGUUUCACAAUUGGUUGUUGAAAAUUGGACAUUUAAGAUAAAAUAAUAUGCUGGGUGUGGUAGCACAGGCUCCAUCCUAGCUGCUCAGGAGGCCGAUGCAGGAGGAUCUCGAGUUCAAAGCCAGCCUCAGCAACUUAGCGGAGGUCCUCAGCAACUCAGUGACACCUUGUCUCUAAAUAAGUUACAAAAUAGGGCUGGGGAUGGGGCUCCGUGGUCAAGUGACUGUGGGUUCCAUCCCCAGUACCAAAAAAAUAAAAUAAAGUAAAAUGACAUGGCAAGUCCAGAGUCAGAUCGUCCUGUCCUCCUCCAGGGCUUGCUGACCCGUCACCGUUCCUUUAGGGCCUCUCCUAGAUGAGUGUUGUGGAGCCUGGUCUGUACAACCCCUUGAGUUCCUGCUUGGCUUGCUAGUGUGUAGCCAAUAGUUGGACACAGAAGUCCUUAAGUCACCCCCAUCAGCAAAUCCUGUGUCCUUCACCGAGGCCGUAUAUGUAUGUGCUGACAUGUGCUCUCACUUCCUGCUUGUGCGUGUCUGCCAUCUCAGCCCAGGCAAGAAACGAGGGCUCCCCCAAGGUCUUUCCAGGGUGUGUGUCCACCCUACACGUGGGUGUGCCCUUCCUGAUUCCCAGGACUCUGGUGGACCUCACAGGGCCUGCUGCUGGCAUCUCCUCUGCCUGACUUUCCUUCAGUUUCUUGACCACUGUCCUGUUCACACCAACAGGCACAGUCACCUUGGACAGUGGCAUGGUUACACAGUGGCCACUAUUUUCAUCAGAUGCCUGGGGACAGGGCUUCCUGUGGUGAGCCUUCUUCAUGAGUGGGGAUUUCCAGGUCUUGGCCUGACAGGUCACACAGUGACACUGCUUUGAUGGGGUUUUGAGGGGAGCUCCGCCUGCCCCCUCAAUGGUUGCUAGCUUCUGAGUCUCAAGGCUGUCACAGAGUGGAGUGGAGGCAGGUGGGACUUGGGUAACUCACAACACCAGAGAGCUCCUAUCUCUUUCUAAGAGGCCUCCAUUUUCUUGAGUCCCCACCCUGUGGAUCAUUGUGUUUCAUUUUCCAGAAAUCGAAACCAUUGAUUUUGACCAUUUUUGC
Molecule: long non-coding RNA, 1159 nt
Filed under: Marmota monax (woodchuck)
Lineage: Eukaryota; Metazoa; Chordata; Mammalia; Rodentia; Sciuridae
Source: RNAcentral